CUAGUGCUUGUUCAGAAAAGGAAAAACCAGUGCUCAACAUGAAUGUGGAGGACCAAUGCUUCGAGCAUUUCUCAGACCAAGACGAAGAAGACGACGAUUUUACCAUUUUGCAAAUUUCUUCUCUCCGUAUACCACAAUUUCACCCUUCAUUCUCUCCAUCGGUAGAGCAGAGGAAGCUAUUGGAGACCCAGAAAAAGGUGUUCAAGACUCGGACAAGUCCUUUUAGUCCAACCCAUGACACCCAACGAAAAGUUCCUGGUGACCAUCAGAAGCCUCAAGAGUAGGGUGUAUUCACCAAAAUGUUUAGUUAAUUAGCUUAUAUACUUUGGUGCUAGAAGUAUUGAGUUUGAUGCAUUUGAUUGAUUGAUUGCCUAGCUGUAAACGGAAGAGAACCAUGUUCGAGAAUGUUGACAAUCCUGAAGAUUCUUCAGUCAAAAUCCAAGUUGAAGAGAUCAAAGCAAAAAUAGGAGUGGAAUGCCCCAUCUUUGUGAAGGCUAUGCAGCCAUCAAAUGUUGCCAGUGGCUUUUUGUUGGCAUUGCCUAAGCAAUUCUGCCAUUCGCAUUUGCCAUCCCAUGAUGCAACAAUAAUUUUAGAAGAUGAAACCGGGGAGAAAUACAGAACAAAGUUUAUUGUGCAAAAGGACAAGAGCAUACUGAGUAGUGGAUGGAGA
Long non-coding RNA from Rosa rugosa (rugosa rose), 670 nucleotides. RefSeq lists it as uncharacterized. The record is from RefSeq and is a predicted model, not a curated record. The transcript is spliced from 4 exons. NCBI's taxonomy places the organism in Eukaryota, Viridiplantae, Streptophyta, Magnoliopsida, Rosales, Rosaceae.